UUGAACGCUGGCGGCAUGCUUUACACAUGCAAGUUGAACGGCAGCGCGGGCUUCGGCCUGGCGGCGAGUGGCGAACGGGUGAGUAAUACAUCGGAACGUGCCCAGUAGUGGGGGAUAGCUCGGCGAAAGCCGGAUUAAUACCGCAUACGACCUGAGGGUGAAAGCGGGGGAUCUUCGGACCUCGCGCUAUUGGAGCGGCCGAUGGCAGAUUAGCUAGUUGGUGGGGUAAAGGCCUACCAAGGCGACGAUCUGUAGCUGGUCUGAGAGGACGACCAGCCACACUGGGACUGAGACACGGCCCAGACUCCUACGGGAGGCAGCAGUGGGGAAUUUUGGACAAUGGGCGAAAGCCUGAUCCAGCAAUGCCGCGUGUGUGAUGAAGGCCUUCGGGUUGUAAAGCACUUUUGGCGGGAACGAAAAGGACUGUGCCAAUACCACGGUUCGAUGACGGUACCCGCAGAAUAAGCACCGGCUAACUACGUG
Molecule: ribosomal RNA, 483 nt
Filed under: uncultured bacterium
Lineage: Bacteria
Description: partial 16S ribosomal RNA
Rfam family: Bacterial small subunit ribosomal RNA
Source: RNAcentral